Molecule: ribosomal RNA, 449 nt
Filed under: uncultured bacterium
Lineage: Bacteria
Description: partial 16S ribosomal RNA
Rfam family: Bacterial small subunit ribosomal RNA
Source: RNAcentral
AACGAACGCUGGCGGCAUGCCUAACACAUGCAAGUCGAACGAGAUCUUCGGGUCUAGUGGCGCACGGGUGCGUAACGCGUGGGAAUCUGCCCUUUGGUUCGGAACAACAGUUGGAAACGACUGCUAAUACCGGAUGAUGACGAAAGUCCAAAGAUUUAUCGCCAGAGGAUGAGCCCGCGUAGGAUUAGCUAGUUGGUGUGGUAAAGGCGCACCAAGGCGAAGAUCCUUAGCUGGUCUGAGAGGAUGAUCAGCCACACUGGGACUGAGACACGGCCCAGACUCCUACGGGAGGCAGCAGUGGGGAAUAUUGGACAAUGGGCGAAAGCCUGAUCCAGAAAUGCCGCGUGAGUGAUGAAGGCCUUAGGGUUGUAAAGCUCUUUUACCCGGGAUGAUAAUGACAGUACCGGGAGAAUAAGCUCCGGCUAACUCCGUGCCGGCCGCCGCGGUAA